Non-coding RNA from Camellia sinensis, 749 nucleotides. The record is from RefSeq and is a predicted model, not a curated record. Lineage: Eukaryota; Viridiplantae; Streptophyta; Magnoliopsida; Ericales; Theaceae.
UCAUGUAUCAUAGAAAAAUCCCAAUCAGAAAUGUUGAUCUAUUCACAAGCAUUUUGAUCAGAGAGUCACAGGUAGAGAUCAAAACCCAUAAAACUCAGAUCUGAGGCAAAUCCUUAUUAUCAGACAUCAAUACACCCAAUUCCUCUCUCUCUCUCUCUCUCUCUCUCUAACUGUUGCAAAGUUGUGAGAGGGGGAGAGGAUCGAGAAUGGCUCGGAUCUUCGAGUACUUCGUUGUGUGCGGACUGGGUCCGGAGAUUCGAACGUUAGAUGGGAACAGAGGGUUUCAUGGAACACUGGUUAUGUACUUGCCUUCUCUCCUUGAUCAGUACCCUCCUUCUAAUCAUACUCUCUACCCUCCUCCACCUCCCCAGCUUCCCACUCUAGAUGAUGUUCGUAGCUGCAUCGCCACGCUUCAGCAGCUGCUACCAACCGUCAUGAGCCAAUCCGCAUAACACCUCAACACAUUAUCGUUUGAAGUCGUCUGCCAAACCGCUUUGUUCCAGCUUUUUUUGUGUCUCUCAGUCGUCCUCGACUCCCCCGUCUCGUCCUUCCCAUCGAGAUCGUUUGCUUCAGCUUUCAACUUCUACAGGCAAGAAUGGAUAUUAAUAAUUAUCUCUAAAUUAUAAAAGUUUGCUCUCUUUUUUAUUUUUUUUAAAAGAUUUAUAUGGCUCCAAGUUUAAGUGAUCAUCUCUAUAUAUUUAUGAAAUGUAUAAAAAUAUGAAACCAUUUUGGUUAAAAUAAAAAAAAAA